UUGCAUAAUGAUGCUUUGAGGGGGUCUGUUUUCCUUUCAAUGAAGGUUUAGGUGAUAGAGGUGAAAAAGCUAUGUUUAUAUCUCUGUGAUCCUCAGACUUUUAGUUUCUUCUGGGACUGAGCGUGUCAGAAGGGCUUUUGGUGAACAUCAGGGAAUGGGGAGGAAGUAGAGAUGGACAUGGCAAAGCAUGCGGAUAACCGACAUUCCAGGCGAGAAAACACCAUUGCUGUUGUACAAAGGUUCCUGUGUUGCCCCUGCUUCCAGACGGGUGAGAACGACCGCUUAGAGUACAAUCAGGAAAAGCCACAGAAUCCCACGGCUGUCGUGGAUGAAGAGAACAUCCAUAUCGUUGUUGAAAAUUUGGGAAUAGACAACCCUGGAUUUAGCCUUUCUGAAGUUGAGCACUGCGGUCCACUUCAACAGAUCACCAUGGGCCGUUCUGCAAGUUCUGUGUCCAUGUGCCAAAGAGCAGCUCUGAAGAAGAAACUCGCACCACUUUCCUCUUUACCUCUUCAGUCUAGAGUGAUCCAGAACAGUGAGGACGACUCUACUGUUGAGUCUCUUCUGUAUGGUUCUGGCAGCACUAAUGUUGGAGAUGGUGGUCUUCUCACUCCACCAGUCAUUAACCUCAUACCUCCGACACCUUCCGACGUAAUAGAUGAUGACCAGUUCUUUGACAUAAACUCAGAAGAAGAGAGUCUGCAGCAAACCUCAGGCAGCGAAGGAGUGGACAGUAUUGGCAGUGCUGCUAUGGGAGAGCAAGAAAGCGAAGAAGAUGUAGACCAAGACUUGGAGUCUGAAGGUAAUCAUAAGACCAAAGAUGAAGAACAUCCACAGGUGGAGCCUCCAGAGGAAGAAACGGCCAAGAAGAAGAGCAUUGACAAGUCUACAAUCCACUUCCUGCGUAGCACCUUUCAUGUACCCCCACUUCCUGAAUACCCACGAACAAGAAGCCUCAAUACUGGAAUCAGUUUGCUGCAGUUCACUGAACAUAAUCUGGAUGACCUGAGCAACAAGGAUGCCUGCAGCCAUGAGUUGCUAAAGGAAGAGUUGAGGCUACUACCGCUGAGCAGUAAGAUAAGCAUGUUAACUCACCAAAAGAAACCAGCCACUAGGUCCUGUAGUUUGGGCGAUACGGUGCCAAAAAGUCAUACCUUUCACUCCACAUGUCAAGGAAGAGAUGAAAUCCUUGAAGAUGAGGAAUCCCCACGUCAAAGGAGGAUAACUGUUGCAUCGUACAUUCCUCAGUCCAAGGACCAUUCUGGAAAAAGUGUAGUGAAGUGGGAUUCUAAUGGGUACAGAGCCAAACCUUUAGCAGAGCUGAACACGGAGGAGGUUUGCCUGUGGUUUAGUAAUAUUGGUCUACAUAAAUGCCUGCCUUUCAUUAGAGAGGCAGAGUUCAGUGGAUCUCACAUCGCUUCUAUUGAUCUCAACACCCUCGAAAUCCUUCAAGUGUCCAAUCUGGAGGAGAGAGAGAGGCUGCUGUCUGCCAUUUACCAUGAGUUACACCCGCCAAACUCCACCACCCAAAGACUCGACUCCCUCCUUGAAAGGUUUGGUCCACACAAUGUUGAGAAAUUCACAGCAGCUUUGGUGUCCAUGACCAAGUCAAAAUCUUCUCCUCAAGUCAACAGCAUCAACAUGAGCCAAUGUUCAUUCAAAUUUAGACAGAAAGAACUAAAUGCAAGAUUUCAGAAGAACUCACAUCUCAUUGAAAUCACAGUCAAUGCGUCAGAUCGAACAGUUCAUUUAAGGACACCCAAAGAGACAAGUGUGGGAAAAGUGGUGGAGUCCUGUCUGAGGAUGCUGGGAAUUAAUGAAGACAAAGAUAACUUCAACCUGAAAAGCAGUGAAGAUGAGUUCUUCCCUGAGCAGCAGAUUGGAGAUUUGCCUGGCUCAGAGAUGAGACUAAUGGAGCUUCACUUAUAUAGGAAGGAAACACAGAAAACGGGUCCUUAUUCAUCAGAUAACAACAUUAUUUGUCCCACUGACAAUAUUCAGAGCAUAAAUCUGCUAAACAACACUGGGAAGAUUCAAGAGCUAAAUCAACAGGUGGCCUCCCUUCAAAACGUCAUCAUACAGGUUCAGGAGCUUUACCAUGAUCUGGUAGCCUUCUGUUCAGAGCUGAAGAAGAUGGAGGGGGAGAUGGAUGCCGUGCAAACAGACAGUUUUGAAGUGAAGAGGCUUCUCAGUGAGGCCCAGGACAAUCUGCAGAGGAAAAGACAGACCCUUCAAACGCUCAUGGACAAUCUUAACACUGCACCAGUGCUGAAGAAUAAGCCAUCAGAGGUCCGACUUCUGGAGAAGAUGAGGCUAAACUGCCAGGUGUUUAAAGACGAGAUCAUACUAGUUCACCUCAAUCGACAGGUGGCUCACCUGCAUGAAGUUCUGGAGAAGACACAGGCCAAGGAGAAAGCCGAGAGGAAGAGCCCUACUCUGACUCAGCUGGUCUCUUUGCAGUCUCCUGUCAUGCUGGUGGCCACCCAAGUGAAAGCAGGCCCAGACGGUCAUUAUGGUUUCUCUGCGCACUGGAUAGAGGGCCAGGGUCUGAUGGUGGUACACAGUAAGGGUGCUAAUCUCUGCCUGAAUGACAGGCUGGUGGAGGUAAAUGGAGUGAACGUCUUGGGGAGCAGUGAGGAUGAGUUGGAGUUGAUGCUUAAGACACACACUGCCCACAUCGUUGUUCUUCGCCAGCUGGCCCAAGAAUGCCCACAGGAAGACCCUUCUGCCCCCACUUUAGGCAGACUUCAGCUCUGAGGGAUCACCAGGACAUACAAGUGCUGCAGUAACACCAAGCAAUGUAGUUUGCGGAUCAGACAGAGCUGUCGGCGAUUCUUCCUAUUGUGAAAUCAUGCAAUGUGAAAGCUCCUGUCGCCGAUCCAUCGUGCAAUGUGAACACAGCAGCGACUGAAUGCUACCCUAGAUAGUCAUGCAGUGUGAAAACAACUGUGAUCCGAGUUUGAAAAUCGUGCAGUGUGAACUUGGCAUUACAGAGGUCUAUCUUUGCGCUGCGCUCACACUCAAGCUUUAAAUGGGGCAUGAAUGAAGCCUGCAUCAAUGAGGCCAUUGAAGACACCACUGUUUGGAUUUAUGUUCUCAAACAACAUGCUUCUGAUGAACCAGAAAACUGUAAUAAAAUUACAGUUGAGCCACUGAUGUCACAUGGACUAUUUUACCAAUGUUCUUAUACAUUUCUGGGUCUGGGGACAUUUCUGUUGCAUUGCUGUCUAUGGAGGGUCAGAAAGCUCGCGGAUUUCAUCAAAAACAUCUUAAUUUGUGUUCUGAAGAUGAACGAAGGACUUACGGGUAUGGAACAACAUGAAGGGUGAAUAAUUAAAGACAGAAUUUUCAUUUUUGGAUGAACUAACCCUUUAAGAUGCAUGGUUAACCUUGGCAGUGCACUAUAACAAGCUCUUGCUCUAUUUCAACUUAUUCUCUUUGUACCAUUUUUGGAUUACUUAAGUGUUUUGUGUUUUCUUCAGAAUUGUAACAGUUUCCUAUUUUGUAUAUGCACUUUUAAGUCUACUGUGACAGUUAAUAUUUUUUACAAAUGUCUUUGCUGUUCUUAAUCGACAGUGACAACAGUUAAGUAGGUUUAUAAAUGUCUUGCCCUUCUUAAUCCACUUUGAGGAUACAUUAUGUAUGUGUUUGAAUAUGCUGCUGAUACAGCCUUUAAAGUGUUGUUUUGAUACUUCUGUGUAAUCAAUUAAUGGCAGAUGUGCUCAGUCCUCCAUAUUUGCCAAUUUGAAAAGUUUGACAAAUCAAUACAGCAAAAUUUAAGUACCAACUCUUGCUUUUUGCCUUUAUUGUUGUUAAUGCCAGUAUGCAUUUUUAGAUUUAUGAUUUUGUAUUCACACAUUUGCAUGUCUAUAAUACUAGCCAGCAGCCAUACAACCUGUAGCCCAAGACCGGUUACCCACUGAAGCUAAGCAGGGUUGAGCCUGGUCAGUACCUGGAUGGGAGACCUCCUGGGAAAAACUAGGUUGCUGCUGGAAGAGGUGUUAGUGAGGCCAGCAAGGGGUGCUCACCCUGUAGUCUGUGUGGGUCCUAACCAAGGUUAUUUUCGUAAACGAAAACUGAACAGCUGAACAGCCAAUCAGAAUGAUCAGAUGGCCCGACUGCCCGACGAGCUCCGACGCCGAUUCAACAUGUAGAAUCGGCCGAAAAAACGCCGACGAGGACCAACUUCAGCCGACGGCGCAGAACACACUGAGAAAACUAGUCGGACGACGAACAAAAACUGCCCGACAGCCAACUGUCGGCUUGGUGUGUACCGGGCUUUAGAGUUGCAAAACUGAAGAUGAGCCACUAAUGUCACAUGGACUGUUUUACCGAUGUAUUUACUAUGUUUAUGAACCUGAGAACAUUUCAAUUGCAUUGUUGUCUAUGGGAGGGUCAGAGAGCUCUCUGAAUUCAUCAAAAACAUCUUAAUUUGUGUUCCGAAGAUGACCGAAGGUCUUACAGGUUUGGAAUGACAUGAGGUUCUUGAAAUGCGUCCAGACCUGUCAUCUGUGUAUGGAAGACCUGAGGAUGCCACAGCAUGAAUAUUCCCAUCAUCACAGCAAGAAUUGCUCCAGCGCACCGACUGUCAGACAUAGCUGCUAAAGUUUAUGGAGCAGAAACAUUUGCCACAUGCAGAUGUAUAGCGCAUUUCUGAGGGAUCGCCUUCCCUCUGGCCAAAAACCUCCAUAUAUGCAUUCUGUUAGGAUCUAAAGCCAGUAAAAAUAGUUUGGCCUCUUUUAGAGGGAAAAAAGUUUCGCUUAACAAACGGAGGGGGCAGCUCAGCAUUUCAGAGUUGUUUUUUUGGGGGGUGUUGAAGCAAAGUGAGGGUGGCUGUGGCUUUUCGGGGCUUUCUGGCAGGCUGUACUUUAACUUAAUAGCCAGUGCAAUAUGUCUAGAGGACACCGACUGGUAUGUGUGUGUACCGCAUUCAAAGACUAUAUCAGCUCUACAGGGUCGCUGACGUAUCGUUUAACAUGGACACGUUUAUCCUUGUAAUGUAUACGAUGUGUAUUGUUAGUGUCAGUUGAUAUUUAAAUAUAAACCCAGAGCAUUUCGACCUUACGGUGUGUGUACAGAGUUAAACAGCUGCAGCCAAUCGAUCCAAGUACACACAAUUUAACCAUCUAUCCUUUCACUCCCUCUUUACAUCCGAAUGAGUCAUUCAAGGCAAGGACAUUUAGAUAUCUGCCAAGUUCCAUAAUAACCUGCAGUGACAAUCUUGUCUCCAUUUACUCCAAACAUCACUGGAUAGACUCAGGACUAUCGCCCAAAAUGGGUCACUAAAGAUGAUGGAAAGGAGUCUGUUAUUAACAACAUAUGCUGUUUUAGCAUAUAUGCAUUUUUGGACGGUAUUUACAGGAGGAAGAUGUUCUAGUUGUGCACUCUUGCAUUGCGCUUGUUGGCUGACCCUCAAAUCAUACAGUAACACCCCUGGGCGUCUGUUCUGUUUUAGUAUUGUAGAUAUGACCAACUCCAGCUUUCCAGAUAAGCAGAAGCAGACAUCUGUCUCUCUCUCUGAACUCAGCACUUCCAGGUUCAUCUCUCUCCCAUCUGCCCCCCAUAACUUGAGCUCCACUCCUGCCCACCCGACAUUUAAAGAGCUCCUGGCAUUUGUUUGAAGUUAGUGUAGGCAUUAGCUCUGGUUUCCUGCUUCAAAUCCCUAUGCAGACCCAAUAAAAGGUCUGUAGGUUGAAAAUUCACUAAAGUAGAUUACUGUCUGUACAGAAAUGUAAUACAAACAAACUUGGCAUUUACUGGCUAUUAUGAGGAAAUUUCUCUGGCACUCAGUGACCUUCCCCCUCAUGAGGCUUUAUGGUUAGUCUGAGAUAGACAGGAACUCCUUGCAAUCCCCACCAGCAUUACUAGUUUUACCACUUAAUUGACAGCUGUCCAGUUAUGCAGAUUUGUACUGUAUAUAAAAUAUUGCAUAUAAGUAACGUUGCAUGAGUAAGAGAGAAUGAGAGUGAGACUGCUUUCUUAAAAAUUCAACAAACUAAUAAAACCAUAUCCAAAGGAAAA
This is an RNA transcript of Onychostoma macrolepis, 6021 nucleotides long. RefSeq lists it as uncharacterized. The record is from RefSeq and is a predicted model, not a curated record. The transcript has 20 exons. NCBI's taxonomy places the organism in Eukaryota, Metazoa, Chordata, Actinopteri, Cypriniformes, Cyprinidae.